Molecule: ribosomal RNA, 292 nt
Filed under: uncultured bacterium
Lineage: Bacteria
Description: partial 16S ribosomal RNA
Rfam family: Bacterial small subunit ribosomal RNA
Source: RNAcentral
GUGCCAGCAGCCGCGGUAACACGUAGGAUCCGAGCGUUAUCCGAAUUCACUGGGCGUAAAGCGCUUGCAGGCGGCUGGAUAAGUUGGAUGUGAAAUCUCCUGGCUCAACUGGGAGGGGCCGUUCAAGACUGUUCAGCUAGAGGGCAAUAGAGGGAGGUGGAAUUCCAGGUGUAGUGGUGAAAUGCGUAGAUAUCUGGAGGAACACCAGUGGCGAAAGCGGCCUCCUGGAUUGCAUCUGACGCUCAGAAGCGAAAGCUAGGGGAGCGAACGGGAUUAGAUACCCCUGUAGUCC